Molecule: ribosomal RNA, 470 nt
Filed under: uncultured bacterium
Lineage: Bacteria
Description: bacterial SSU rRNA
Rfam family: Bacterial small subunit ribosomal RNA
Source: RNAcentral
GACGAACGCUGGCGGCGUGCUUAGCACAUGCAAGUCGAACGAAGAGCGAUGGAAGCUUGCUUCUAUCAAUCUUAGUGGCGAACGGGUGAGUAACGCGUAAUCAACCUGCCCUUCAGAGGGGGACAACAGUUGGAAACGACUGCUAAUACCGCAUACGAUCUAAACUCGGCAUCGAGGAUAGAUGAAAGGUGGCCUCUACAUGUAAGCUAUCACUGAAGGAGGGGAUUGCGUCUGAUUAGCUAGUUGGAGGGGUAACGGCCCACCAAGGCGAUGAUCAGUAGCCGGUCUGAGAGGAUGAACGGCCACAUUGGGACUGAGACACGGCCCAGACUCCUACGGGAGGCAGCAGUGGGGAAUCUUCCGCAAUGGACGAAAGUCUGACGGAGCAACGCCGCGUGAGUGAUGACGGCCUUCGGGUUGUAAAGCUCUGUUAAUCGGGACGAAAGGCCUUCUUGCGAAUAGUGAGAAGG